RNAcentral lists this ribosomal RNA (254 nucleotides) under uncultured bacterium. Its description in RNAcentral is "partial 16S ribosomal RNA". It matches the Rfam family "Bacterial small subunit ribosomal RNA", at positions 524 to 776 of the family's 1533-position model. The record is from RNAcentral.
UACGUAGGGUGCAAGCGUUAAUCGGAAUUACUGGGCGUAAAGCGUGCGCAGGCGGUUGUGCAAGACCGAUGUGAAAUCCCCGGGCUUAACCUGGGAAUGGCAUUGGUGACUGUACGGCUAGAGUGUGUCAGAGGGGGGUAGAAUUCCACGUGUAGCAGUGAAAUGCGUAGAGAUGUGGAGGAAUACCGAUGGCGAAGGCAGCCCCCCUGGGAUAACACUGACGCUCAUGCACGAAAGCGUGGGGAGCAAACAGG